RNAcentral lists this long non-coding RNA (1308 nucleotides) under Callithrix jacchus (white-tufted-ear marmoset). RNAcentral's name for it is "lncRNA (ENSCJAG00000070909.1)". Lineage: Eukaryota; Metazoa; Chordata; Mammalia; Primates; Cebidae. The record is from RNAcentral.
AUGACACAUGUCACACUCAGGUUCGUAGGGGAGGCUCUGCUCCACUCAGUCACUCAGGGACCCAGGCUGAUGGAGGCUCUACCAUCUUCUAGCUGCACCAUCUGGAGCACAGAUGCCACAUCUGGGAAAGAAAGAUCAGAGAAUCACAUAUGGGAUUUUUAUAUUUUUUAUUUUAAUUGUAAUUUUUUUUUUUUUUUUGAGACAGUGUCACUCCGUCACCAGGUGCCAGGCUGGAGUGCAGUGACGCGACCUCGGCUCACUGCAACCUCCGCCUCCCGGGUUCAAGCGAUUCUCCUGCCUCAGCCUCCUGUUUAGCUGGGAUUACAGGCAUGUGUUGCCACGCCCAGCUAAUUUUGUAUUUUUAGUAGAGAUGAGGUUCUCCACGUUGGUCAGGCUGGUCUCAAACUCCUGACCUCAGGAGUUUCUCCACGUUGGUCAGGCUGGUCUCAAACUCCUGACCUCAUCCACAUCAGCCUCCCAAAGUGCUGGGAUUACAGGCAUGAACCACCACGCCCGGCCUAAAAUACAUAUUUAAGAGAUUAGAGUCUCACUAUGUUGCCCAGGCUGGUCUUGAACUCCCUGGGCUCAAGCAAUCUCCCAUUUUGGCCUUCCACAGUGCUGGGAUUACAGGCGUGAGCCACCAUGCCUGGCCUUUUUAAAAAGUUUUAGAGUUUUAUCUCUUACAGUUAGGUCUGUGAUCCAUUUUGAGUUUAUUUGUGUAUAUGGUGUGGGGUAGGGGUCCAACUUCCCCCUUUUGCAUGUGGAUUUCCAGUUGUCCUGACACCAUUUGUUGAAAAGACUUUCUCUGUUGAAUUAUCUUGGCACCCUGCACUUAAUUUUUUUUUUUUGCCACUUUGUCUAAGAAGCACUUACAUUUUUGAUGUUCCCAAAUUGUCCUCCACAGAGGUUACACUGAUAAAGUUGCAUCCAUAGGAGCUAAGAGACUGUAUCUCAGAUUGGGCCCCUAAGGUUAGCAAGGACACUGAUGAGCUCGAGUUUAUCAGGGACACACAGCAGAGUGGAGUGUGGGAGGAACUUGAGAGUGUCAUGAAAGGGGAGGUUAAGGAAGCAAAAAUGUUUCUCUCAGAGAAGAGAAAAAUGCAAGGGAAUGUACAUUUCUUCUGUGAGUAGAUGGGCCUGAGUUUGAAGCCCUGUUCUGCUCCUUUCCAGCUGAGUAGUCUUGGUCAGUUAUCAGAUCCAACUCUCUGAGUCUGUUUCAUCAUGUUAAACCAAGAUGGUGCCCACAACCACCUUUGCAGGGUUGUUGUGAGGAGCAAAUGUAUGUAAAUAUCCCAGCCCACAAUAGGC